UACGAGGGGGGCGAGCGUUGUUCGGAAUCACUGGGCGUAAAGCGUGCGUAGGCGGUUAUAAAAGUUAGGAGUGAAAGCCCUGGGCUCAACCUAGGAAUUGCUCUUAAUACUGUAUAACUCGAAUUCGGGAGAGGAUAGCGGAAUUGUCAGUGUAGCAGUGAAAUGCGUAGAUAUUGACAGGAACACCGGUGGCGUAAGCGGCUAUCUGGACCGACAUUGACGCUGAGGCACGAAAGCGUGGGGAUCAAACAGG
This 253-nucleotide ribosomal RNA is filed under the name uncultured bacterium. Its description in RNAcentral is "partial 16S ribosomal RNA". It matches the Rfam family "Bacterial small subunit ribosomal RNA", at positions 524 to 776 of the family's 1533-position model. The record is from RNAcentral.